RNAcentral lists this non-coding RNA (25 nucleotides) under Cricetulus griseus (Chinese hamster). The record is from RNAcentral. Lineage: Eukaryota; Metazoa; Chordata; Mammalia; Rodentia; Cricetidae.
AAAAAGGAGAGAAGGACAUUCCUGG